Molecule: ribosomal RNA, 500 nt
Filed under: uncultured bacterium
Lineage: Bacteria
Description: partial 16S ribosomal RNA
Rfam family: Bacterial small subunit ribosomal RNA
Source: RNAcentral
AUUGAACGCUGGCGGCAUGCCUUACACAUGCAAGUCGAACGGCAGCACGGGAGCAAUCCUGGUGGCGAGUGGCGAACGGGUGAGUAAAGUAUCGGAACGUGCCCAGUCGUGGGGGAUAACGUAGCGAAAGUUACGCUGAUACCGCAUACGAUCUAUGGAUGAAAGCGGGGGAUCGCAAGACCUCGCGCGAUUGGAGCGGCCGAUAUCAGAUUAGGUAGUUGGUGGGGUAAAGGCUCACCAAGCCGACGAUCUGUAGCUGGUCUGAGAGGACGACCAGCCACACUGGGACUGAGACACGGCCCAGACUCCUACGGGAGGCAGCAGUGGGGAAUUUUGGACAAUGGGCGAAAGCCUGAUCCAGCCAUGCCGCGUGCAGGAAGAAGGCCUUCGGGUUGUAAACUGCUUUUGUACGGAGCGAAAAGGCUCUCUCUAAUACAGGGGGCUCAUGACGGUACCGUAAGAAUAAGCACCGGCUAACUACGUGCCAGCCGCCGCAGUAA